This 868-nucleotide long non-coding RNA is filed under the name Pan troglodytes (chimpanzee). RNAcentral's name for it is "lincRNA". Lineage: Eukaryota; Metazoa; Chordata; Mammalia; Primates; Hominidae. The record is from RNAcentral.
GAGAGAAAUCACACUACCAUCAAAGACAAUGGGUCAAAAAGAAUGCCGUCCUAAGCUGAGAAGCCAUCUUCCUAACGACAGCCAUGUAAUAUGAAAGGGAAAAACACACUGUUAUUGAAGAACUUAUCAGCUAUGUCACAACUUCCACACAAAUACUCAGGAAAGUUAAAAGAAAAUUUUACCUCGGACACAGUUGAUGAUUGCUAAAGUCCUAUUGCAUGCUUUAAGAUGCCUUGCGUUUGGUGAAUUGAAGCCUGAUAUGUCAACAUAUUCUCUGUAAACACAGCAGCACAGAGGGCAAAGAAACACUUAUCCAGCACCACAGCUAGGACAAAAGGAAUUAUUUUGACAGUAAAUGGACUUGCAGCUUAGUUGGUACGUACCCAAUUGUGACUAAACCAAAAGAAAAAAAUCUGGAAACUGAAGUACCAAUACAUGAAAAGCGUUCUUUUGGUAUUGGGAGUGCCAGUUGUCUUUGUUUCAUGAACUACUUCUCCGUAAUAGCACGCAGCCAUCUUCAAGAGCUAAAAUAGCAUCCCCAGGAUAAACAGGAAUACUACACUCUUCCUUAAAUAACAAAAACUGCGGCUGGGCGUGGUGGCUCACACCUGUAAUCCCAGCACUUUUUGGGAGGCCGAGGUGGGCGGAUCACGAGGUCAGGAGAUGGAGACCAUCUUGGCUAACACGGUGAAACCCGGUCUCUACUAAAAAUACAAAAAAUUACAUAGGCGCGGUGGCGGGCGCCUACAGUCCCAGCUACUCGGAAGGCUGAGGCGGGAGAAUGGCGUGAACCUGGGAGGCGGAGCUUGCAGUGAGCCAAGAUCGCGCCACUGCACUCCAGCCUGGGCGACAGAGCAAAACUCUGCCC